CCUACGGGUGGCAGCAGUGAGGAAUAUUGGUCAAUGGACGAGAGUCUGAACCAGCCAAGUAGCGUGAAGGAUGACUGCCCUAUGGGUUGUAAACUUCUUUUAUAUGGGAAUAAAACGUUCCACGUGUGGGAUUUUGUAUGUACCAUAUGAAUAAGGAUCGGCUAACUCCGUGCCAGCAGCCGCGGUAAUACGGAGGAUCCGAGCGUUAACCGGAUUUAUUGGGUUUAAAUGGAGCGUAGGUGGAUUGUUAAGUCAGUUGUGAAAGUUUGCGGCUCAACCGUAAAAUUGCAGUUGAAACUGGCAGUCUUGAGUACAGUAGAGGUGGGCGGAAUGCGUGGUGUAGCGGUGAAAUGCUUAGAUAUCACGAAGAACUCCGAUUGCGAAGGCAGUUCACUGGACUGCAACUGACACUGAGGCUCGAAAGUGUGGGUAUCAAACAGGAUUAGAUACCCUAGUAGUC
This 460-nucleotide ribosomal RNA is filed under the name uncultured bacterium. Its description in RNAcentral is "partial 16S ribosomal RNA". It matches the Rfam family "Bacterial small subunit ribosomal RNA", at positions 338 to 795 of the family's 1533-position model. The record is from RNAcentral.